RNAcentral lists this ribosomal RNA (649 nucleotides) under uncultured archaeon. Its description in RNAcentral is "bacterial SSU rRNA". It matches the Rfam family "Archaeal small subunit ribosomal RNA", at positions 133 to 783 of the family's 1478-position model. The record is from RNAcentral.
CGGGAAACUGAGAAUAAUCCGCGAUAGAUCAUAAUUCCUGGAAUGGUUUAUGGUCCAAAUGAUUCGUCGCCAUAGGAUGGGACUGCGGCCUAUCAGCUUGUUGGUGAGGUAGUGGCUCACCAAGGCUAUUACAGGUACGGGCUCUGAGAGGAGAAGCCCGGAGAUGGGUACUGAGACACGGACCCAGGCCCUAUGGGGCGCAGCAGGCGAGAAACCUUCGCAAUGUGCGCAAGCACGACAAGGUUAAUCCGAGUGUUUCCUGCUAAAGGAAUCUUUUGUUAGUUCUAAAACCACUGAUGAAUAAGAGGUGGGCAAGUUCUGGUGUCAGCCGCCGCGGUAAAACCAGCACCUCAAGUGGUCAGGAUGAUUAUUGGGCCUAAAGCAUCCGUAGCUCGUUUUGUAAGUUUUCGGUUAAAUCCAUGCGCUUAACGUAUGGGCUGCCGGGAAUACUGCAUAACUAGGAAGUGGGAGAGGUAGACGGUACUCGGUAGGAAGGGGUAAAAUCCUUUGAUCUAUUGAUGACCACCUGUGGCGAAGGCGGUCUACCAGAACACGUUCGACGGUGAGGGAUGAAAGCUGGGGGAGCAAACCGGAUUAGAUACCCGGGUAGUCCCAGCUGUAAACUAUGCAAACUCAGUGAUGCAUUGGC